RNA transcript from Choloepus didactylus (southern two-toed sloth), 1487 nucleotides. RefSeq lists it as uncharacterized. The transcript has 3 exons. NCBI's taxonomy places the organism in Eukaryota, Metazoa, Chordata, Mammalia, Pilosa, Megalonychidae. The record is from RefSeq and is a predicted model, not a curated record.
GUCAAGCCACACAUGGCGGGGCAGGGCCGAAACAGUUGCACAUGCAGGAAAGGGUGGGUUUUUGUUUCUUUCUGGAUUUGGCUCACCGACCCCGCCGACUCGAGAACAAACACCUGGGGCUGGAACUUUGUGGAAUUUGCAACGCAGCUGGCCUGGGAGCCCAUGGGGCCGGGGCGGGUACCCGUCCAGACCACGCGCCGCCACGCACGUGAAGUCCCGGCCCGCCAGACCCCGGCCCAGCGCGGGUGGGGCCCUCGCGGCCCAAACUUGUCACAUGCCCAGCGACCACGGACGCACAGGGCCCCCUCCAGUCCCGAGCCCCGGCCCCUGCAAGGGGAGGGCCCCCCCGUGAGGGCCAGGGCCGCGGAUCCGGGCGGGCACCCCUCCCCCGACCCGGCCGCAACAGGUCUGCACCCCGCCUACCCCGGGCGACCCCCGCCGGCGGGGCCCGCAGACCGUCGACUCGUCCUGGGCGGGGGCUCCGGACUUCUUGACAGUUUCUGCGCCUCGGAAAGUGAGCCCACGCGGGGUGCCAAUCCUUUAAAUUAUGGGAAAGCAGCGGAAAGCUUCACUACAAACCAGGGCCAAGUGUGGCCAGAUUUUAUAACCAGCCUCCGCUAACCGACAAUGCAAGGGAGCUCAAAAUCCAUUUUGGCUGUUUGAUAAUGCCCGAAUGAUGUGCAUCCUUCUUCUUUCAUCUAAGGAAUCAACUGCUCUUAUCCUAGACUCAUAGGACCCCCAAAGAUGUUGUAAGACCCAAGACUGGAAAUGACAGUCCCACAUUUAUUGCUCUGGACGCCUGGGCCAAUAUUUCCAUGAGUGGCCUGGUCAGAAAGUCCUGAUCUUCCAAGAAUUGACGCAUACCUCCAGGAUCCACCUGCCUUGCUGUUAAAUUACAAUCUUACCUCCUGUCUCUUUCCUACUCCAUUUUACCAACCAGGAGAAGUUUGGAGAAUCCUCAGAUCCCUGGCCCACUUAUUGUGUAAUAUACCUGGAAGGUCAGAGGGUGCAAUGGGUCACCAGGGCAAAUGCAAAAAGCAAAGCAAAGUCGGAAAUUGCUUUAAAAGGUAAUGGUAUUCACUGUUUGCUGCACACAAAGUCCCUCUCAUUAUAAAGAAAUUAUUCAUGUCUGUUUCCUGGGCAGCAACUCCAGAAGAGUGCAUAGGCUGGAUUCACAAAAAGUUUAAUUCUGCAGAUUCAGAGAGCUUACUUCUGGCCCUUCCUUCCUUGCCAGCAAUCUAAGACCAGAUGCUAUCUGGUCAUGAAAACUUUAACCCCUGGAACUAGUAACAAACAGGCCCAAGCUUAACCCAUCAUAGAUCCCAUAUCAGGGUUACCUUUGAGCUUGGACAAACAGGUCACUGUUCACCUUUGUGUGCUGAGAUCCAGUGAUGAUGAAGAAUGACUAGCUGUGACAGUUACUUUUAAGGAUUCUGUAUAGAUAAAAUUGAAUAUACUGUUGAAAUCAAUAUUUUAUCUGGAUUAUA